Molecule: transfer RNA, 74 nt
Filed under: Candidatus Woesearchaeota archaeon
Lineage: Archaea; Nanobdellati; Candidatus Woesearchaeota
Description: tRNA-Lys
Rfam family: tRNA
About the family: Transfer RNA (tRNA) molecules are approximately 80 nucleotides in length. Their secondary structure includes four short double-helical elements and three loops (D, anti-codon, and T loops).
Source: RNAcentral
GGGUCCGUAGCUCAGUCUGGCAGAGCAAUCGGCUCUUAACCGAUAGGUCGGGGGUUCAAAUCCCUUCGGGCUCA